GGAUAGCUAUANCNGUCUGUCAAGUAACACUGUUACACAAUUCUNCUGUUUGACAUGGCGUGUUUACCCAGAUGANAUUUAGGGGUCCACUUCUGGUGGCGCGCACACAGGUGCUGCAUGGCUGUCAGUCAGCUUCUGUUGUCGUGAGAUGUUGGUGUUAUAGUCCNCGCAACGAUGCANCAACACUCACGUCACAUUAGUUGCCAUCAUUUCANNUUGGGCACUNUAGGUGUAGACUUUUCCGGUGUAUUAAGUCCAGCGAGNGAAUGGUGUUGGAUGACUGUCAAGUCCUUCAUGGCCCUUUACAGUGUGAUUGGUCUACAUCUACAGUGCGUACAAUGUCGGUGACAGUGGGACUGCUGUAAUGGAUNCUGAUCUGGAUGCAAGAAUCCCCGAGAAAGCCGUUCUUCAAGUUCUGGA
RNAcentral lists this ribosomal RNA (420 nucleotides) under endophytic bacterium AF-5. Its description in RNAcentral is "partial 16S ribosomal RNA". The record is from RNAcentral.